Molecule: ribosomal RNA, 383 nt
Filed under: uncultured Alphaproteobacteria bacterium
Lineage: Bacteria; Pseudomonadati; Pseudomonadota; Alphaproteobacteria
Description: bacterial SSU rRNA
Rfam family: Bacterial small subunit ribosomal RNA
Source: RNAcentral
ACAGGUGCUGCAUGGCUGUCGUCAGCUCGUGUCGUGAGAUGUUGGGUUAAGUCCCGCAACGAGCGCAACCCUCGUCCUUAGUUGCCAUCAUUUAGUUGGGCACUCUAAGGAAACCGCCGGUGAUAAGCCGGAGGAAGGUGGGGAUGACGUCAAGUCCUCAUGGCCCUUACGCGCUGGGCUACACACGUGCUACAAUGGCGGUGACAGUGGGCAGCAAUCUCGCAAGGGUGAGCUAAUCUCCAAAAGCCGUCUCAGUUCGGAUUGUUCUCUGCAACUCGAGAGCAUGAAGGCGGAAUCGCUAGUAAUCGCGGAUCAGCAUGCCGCGGUGAAUACGUUCCCAGGCCUUGUACACACCGCCCGUCACACCAUGGGAGUUGGAUUCA